This 570-nucleotide ribosomal RNA is filed under the name uncultured Dyella sp. RNAcentral's name for it is "bacterial SSU rRNA". It matches the Rfam family "Bacterial small subunit ribosomal RNA", at positions 329 to 915 of the family's 1533-position model. The record is from RNAcentral. Lineage: Bacteria; Pseudomonadati; Pseudomonadota; Gammaproteobacteria; Lysobacterales; Rhodanobacteraceae.
CAGGUCACUCCUACGGGAGGCAGCAGUGGGGAAUAUUGGACAAUGGGGGCAACCCUGAUCCAGCAAUGCCGCGUGAGUGAUGAAGGCCUUCGGGUUGUAAAGCUCUUUUGGCGGGGACGAUGAUGACGGUACCUGAGGAAUAAGCACCGGCUAACUUCGUGCCAGCAGCCGCGGUAAUACGAAGGGUGCAAGCGUUAAUCGGAAUUACUGGGCGUAAAGCGUGCGUAGGCGGUGAGUUAAGUCUGUUGUGAAAUCCCCGGGCUCAACCUGGGAAUGGCAAUGGAUACUGGCUCGCUAGAGUGUGAUAGAGGAUGGUGGAAUUCCCGGUGUAGCGGUGAAAUGCGUAGAGAUCGGGAGGAACAUCAGUGGCGAAGGCGGCCAUCUGGAUCAACACUGACGCUGAGGCACGAAAGCGUGGGGAGCAAACAGGAUUAGAUACCCUGGUAGUCCACGCCCUAAACGAUGCGAACUGGAUGUUGGUCUCAACUCGGAGAUCAGUGUCGAAGCUAACGCGUUAAGUUCGCCGCCUGGGGAGUACGGUCGCAAGACUGAAACUCAAAGGAAUUGACG